RNAcentral lists this ribosomal RNA (440 nucleotides) under uncultured bacterium. RNAcentral describes it as "bacterial SSU rRNA". It matches the Rfam family "Bacterial small subunit ribosomal RNA", at positions 338 to 795 of the family's 1533-position model. The record is from RNAcentral.
CCUACGGGGGGCUGCAGUAAGGAAUCUUCCGCAAUGGGCGAAAGCCUGACGGAGCAAUGCCGCGUGCGGGAUGAAGCGUCUACGACGUGUAAACCGCUGUCAGGGAGCAGAACCAAUGAUCGCUCCCAGAGGAAGUGGCGACUAACUCUGUGCCAGCAGUCGCGGUAAUACAGAGGCCACAAGCGUUAAUCGGAAUCACUGGGCUUAAAGGGUGCGUAGGCGGACCGGCAAGCGUCUUGUGAAAUCCCACGGCUCAACCGUGGAACAGCAGGGCGAACUGCCGGUCUUGAGGAAGGUAGGGGCUGCCAGAACAGUAGGUGGAGCGGUGAAAUGCGUAGAGAUCUACUGGAAUGCCGAUGGUGAAGACGGGCAGCUGGGCCUUUCCUGACGCUGAGGCACGAAAGCGUGGGGAGCAAACAGGAUUAGAUACCCGGGUAGUC